RNAcentral lists this long non-coding RNA (542 nucleotides) under Cricetulus griseus (Chinese hamster). RNAcentral's name for it is "lncRNA (ENSCGRG00000024518.1)". Lineage: Eukaryota; Metazoa; Chordata; Mammalia; Rodentia; Cricetidae. The record is from RNAcentral.
CUGAGAUUUCUGUUAUCUUAGUAACUUGUCGGCUGUGCCUCACAACAAAUCUCCUUACAUAGUCCUAAACCUAGCAGAGGAAGGGAUAACUGUGGAGGAUAGUGUGCUCCUGUCACUUUAACUUCCACCCAGAACAUCACCUUUAGAGAGGAGUUCCUACCUUUUGCAGGCCAGAAAAUCUCCAAACCCAGCUGGAACAGGCCACAGACCAGGAAGACAGCCUCCUGCAGACAGCUCCAGAAGCCGGAGCAACAGGUGUCACAGGCAAGUGAGCUACCUUUGCAUCCUGACCCCUUCAAUCCAGGUAUAGGUUUUGGGUGGGUGGAACUUGCCUUUGACUUCUUCUGUGUGAAUAGCCCCUGGUUUGGUCUAGCCUAUGACCCAGCCAGGCUGCUUCUGGGUCUGAUUGUGUUUCUUUCUAACACAGCUCCUGAGAGACCUGAGGAGCCGAAAGAAGCCACCAACAACUUGGACCAUGGCAAUGUCUCCCCUAGGAUCAAAGCCUCCUCCUCAGAAGACAACCUGCAAAGCCCCAAGGAGGC